Molecule: ribosomal RNA, 1242 nt
Filed under: metagenome
Description: bacterial LSU rRNA
Rfam family: Bacterial large subunit ribosomal RNA
Source: RNAcentral
UGAAUACGAGACGCUAAGGCGUCGAAGUAGUGUAUGUCAUACUUCCAAGAAAAGCUUGCACUGUCAUAAGUAAAAAAUGCCUGUACCAUAACCGACACAGGUGGGUAGGUAGAGUAUACUAAGGGGCGCGAGAUAACUCUCUCUAAGGAACUCGGCAAAAUAACUCCGUAACUUCGGGAGAAGGAGCACCUUAUUCUAUAAGGUUGCAAUAACAAGAUCCAAGCAACUGUUUAUCAAAAACACAGGUCUCCGCUAAGUCGUAAGACGAUGUAUGGGGGCUGACGCCUGCCCAGUGCCAGAAGGUUAAAGAAGUCGGUUAGCAUUAGCGAAGCUGGUAACUGAAGCCCUGGUGAACGGCGGCCGUAACAAUAACGGUCCUAAGGUAGCGAAAUUCCUUGUCGGGUAAGUUCCGACCCGCACGAAAGGCGUAAUGAUUUGGAUACUGUCUCGGAGAGGGGCUCGGUGAAAUAGACUUGUCUGUGAAGAUGCGGACUACCUGCACCAGGACAGAAAGACCCUAUGAAGCUUUACUGUAACUUGAAAUUGAAAUUGGACUUUAUUCGCGCAGUAAAGGUGGGAGGUGUUGAUUAUAAUCUUGCGGGAUUAUUGGAGCCAUCAGUGAGAUACCACUCUUGUAAUGUUAGAUUUCUAACUUUGAAUCAUUAUCUGGUCAAAGGACAGUUUCAGGCGGGCAGUUUGACUGGGGCGGUCGCCUCCCAAACGGUAACGGAGGCGUACAAAGGUUUCCUCUGAACGGGUAGAAAUCGUAUCUAGAGUGUAAAGGCAUAAGGAAGCUUGACUGUGAGACCUACAAGUCGAACAGGGACGAAAGUCGGUCUUAGUGAUCUGACGGUACUGAGUGGAAAGGCCGUCACUCAACGGAUAAAAGUUACUCUAGGAUAACAGGCUGAUCUCCCCCAAGAGUUCACAUCGACGGGGAGGUUUGGCACCUCGAUGUCGGCUCAUCGCAUCCUGGGGCGGUAGUACGUCCCAAGGGUUGGGCUGUUCGCCCAUGAAAGCGGUACGCGAGCUGGGUUCAGAACGUCGUGAGACAGUUCGGUCCAUAUCCGGUGUAGGCGUUAGAAUAUUGAGAGGAGCCUUCUUUAGUACGAGAGGACCGAGAAGGACAUACCUCUGGUGUACCAGUUAUCGUGCCAACGGUAAACGCUGGGUAGCUAUGUAUGGAGUGGAUAACCGCUGAAAGCAUCUAAGUGGGAAGCCCACCUCAAGAUAAGUAUUCCC